GACGAACGCUGGCGGCGCGCCCAACACAUGCAAGUCGAACGAGCGAGAGAGAGCUUGCUUUCUUGAGCGAGUGGCGAACGGGUGAGUAACGCGUGAGGAACCUGCCUCAAAGAGGGGGACAACAGUUGGAAACGACUGCUAAUACCGCAUAAGCCCACGACCCGGCAUCGGGUUGAGGGAAAAGGAGCAAUCCGCUUUGAGAUGGCCUCGCGUCCGAUUAGCUAGUUGGUGAGGUAACGGCCCACCAAGGCGACGAUCGGUAGCCGGACUGAGAGGUUGAACGGCCACAUUGGGACUGAGACACGGCCCAGACUCCUACGGGAGGCAGCAGUGGGGAAUAUUGCACAAUGGGGGAAACCCUGAUGCAGCGACGCCGCGUGGAGGAAGAAGGUCUUCGGAUUGUAAACUCCUGUUGUUGAGGAAGAUAAUGACGGUACUCAACAAGGAAGUGACGGCUAACUACGUG
This 466-nucleotide ribosomal RNA is filed under the name uncultured bacterium. Its description in RNAcentral is "partial 16S ribosomal RNA". It matches the Rfam family "Bacterial small subunit ribosomal RNA", at positions 28 to 507 of the family's 1533-position model. The record is from RNAcentral.